Molecule: long non-coding RNA, 453 nt
Filed under: Rhinopithecus bieti (black snub-nosed monkey)
Lineage: Eukaryota; Metazoa; Chordata; Mammalia; Primates; Cercopithecidae
Description: lncRNA (ENSRBIG00000045555.1)
Source: RNAcentral
UUUCUUUGGUGUGGACAUCAAAAACUCAAGUAUCUACAGGGGCCAAGCAGGUCACCAAAAUGGGUGGUGCCCCUGGGUGGGGACGGGGUUGAACUGGAGAGCCACGUCCAGUCUUAAGUGAGCAGCGUGUUCGGCAACUGACAUGAGCUGAGCAGAGCAAAUAUGGUUGUCAGAGGUUCUGAUUUCUCUUCACUGGAAGAUUUGAAAGGCUAUCUAGUGAAUCAAUAUCUGAAAAUUCGGCUGUCCAAAAACAUCUGUCACCAUGGAUUGCCCAUACCUUGCAUCAAACUCCAAGCUGUGUUCAGAUGAAGGACAGUUGGCAUCAGUGAACUUUCUUUUUAUCCCUGCUUGCAACCCACUCCUGGUAGUCUGAGCUUGUCUAGGUUCUAAAUACUUUCUUACCUAUAAAUCACUGGACUAGUGUACUAUUCAUCAGGCUCUGGCUGUGCACAC